GACUUGAGGUGCCGCCGGAAGGCGGCCGAACAGGGAAGCGGGGUGCAAAUCCCCAGCGGAGCCGCCGCCGUAAUGGAAGAGCCCGUUUUCAUGAUGCCACUGGAGCAGUCCGGGAAGGCGAAAACGGACGGGGACGCCUGAGCCGGAAGACCUGCCUCGAGUG
This 163-nucleotide non-coding RNA is filed under the name human gut metagenome. The record is from RNAcentral.